Molecule: ribosomal RNA, 667 nt
Filed under: uncultured eukaryote
Lineage: Eukaryota
Description: SSU rRNA
Rfam family: Eukaryotic small subunit ribosomal RNA
Source: RNAcentral
GGUUAAAAAGCUCGUAGUUGGAUCUCGGCAGUCAGGGGGUGGUUCGCUUCUCGGCGCUACUGCCCCAUAUGACUGUGUGAUUGGCGGAGGUUUCGAGGUGCUCUUCGUUGAGUGACUCGGGGCGCCGUCAGGUUUACUUUGAAAAAAUUAGAGUGCUCAAAGCAGGCUUACACGCUUGAAUAUUCGUGCAUGGAAUAAUGGAAUAGGAACUCGUUUCUAUUUUGUUGGUUUUCGGAAAUCGAGUUAAUGAUUAAUAGGGACAAUUGGGGGCAUUAGUAUUCAGACGACAGAGGUGAAAUUCUUGGACCGUCUGAAGACUAACUACUGCGAAAGCAUUUGCCAAGAGUGUUUUCAUUAAUCAAGAACGAAAGUUAGAGGUUCGAAGGCGAUCAGAUACCGCCCUAGUUCUAACCAUAAACGAUGCCAGCUAGCGAUCUGCCGGGUGUUAUUUGUAGGCCCUGCAGGAAGCUUUCGGGAAACCAAAGCUUUUGGGUUCCGGGGGAAGUAUGGUUGCAAAGCUGAAACUUAAAGGAAUUGACGGAAGGGCACCACCAGGCGUGGAGCCUGCGGCUUAAUUUGACUCAACACGGGAAAUCUCACCAGGCCCGGACACUGGAAGGAUUGACAGAUUGAGAGCUCUUUCUCGAUUCGGUGGGUGGUGGUGCAU